This 196-nucleotide small nuclear RNA is filed under the name Dichanthelium oligosanthes. RNAcentral's name for it is "U2 spliceosomal RNA". It matches the Rfam family "U2 spliceosomal RNA". From Rfam's summary of the family: U2 is a small nuclear RNA (snRNA) component of the spliceosome (involved in pre-mRNA splicing). Complementary binding between U2 snRNA (in an area lying towards the 5' end but 3' to hairpin I) and the branchpoint sequence (BPS) of the intron results the bulging out of an unpaired adenosine, on the BPS, which initiates a nucleophilic attack at the intronic 5' splice site, thus starting the first of two transesterification reactions that mediate splicing. The record is from Rfam by way of RNAcentral. Lineage: Eukaryota; Viridiplantae; Streptophyta; Magnoliopsida; Poales; Poaceae.
GUACCUUUCUCGGUCUUUUGGCUAAGAUCGAGUAUAGUAUGACUUCUUAUCAGUUUAAUAUCUGACUUGUGGAACAAGUGCCCACAAUGAUAUUAAAUUUAUUUUUUAGGGGAAAGAACCUAUAAUGAUAGCUUGCUACUAAGGUUCUCAUGGGUCGCUUAGCGUUGCACUACUGCUUGGGCUUGGUGCACCCAGU